This 447-nucleotide ribosomal RNA is filed under the name bacterium CPTAC77. Its description in RNAcentral is "bacterial SSU rRNA". It matches the Rfam family "Bacterial small subunit ribosomal RNA", at positions 955 to 1387 of the family's 1533-position model. The record is from RNAcentral.
UUGAACGGGAAGAACCUUACCAAGGCUUGACAUACACCGGAAACAUCCAGAGAUGGGUGCCCCCUUGUGGUCGGUGUACAGGUGGUGCAUGGCUGUCGUCAGCUCGUGUCGUGACGAUGUUGGGUUAAGUCCCGCAACGAGCGCAACCCUUGUCCCGUGUUGCCAGCAGGCCCUUGUGGUGCUGGGGACUCACGGGAGACCGCCGGGGUCAACUCGGAGGAAGGUGGGGACGACGUCAAGUCAUCAUGCCCCUUAUGUCUUGGGCUGCACACGUGCUUCAAUGGCCGGUACAAUGAGCUGCGAUACCGUGAGGUGGAGCGAAUCUCAAAAAGCCGGUCUCAGUUCGGAUUGGGGUCUGCAACUCGACCCCAUGAAGUCGGAGUCGCGUAGUAAUCGCAGAUCAGCAUUGCUGCGGUGAAUACGUUCCCGGGUCUUGUACACACGCAA